Cucumis sativus (cucumber) is the source of this 376-nucleotide long non-coding RNA. RefSeq lists it as uncharacterized. Lineage: Eukaryota; Viridiplantae; Streptophyta; Magnoliopsida; Cucurbitales; Cucurbitaceae. The record is from RefSeq and is a predicted model, not a curated record. The transcript is spliced from 2 exons.
GAAGGGAAAGGAUCGGCGACUGGGCUGCGGCUGGGCACGAACGGAAGGAGAAGAGGAACGGAGAUGGCCGGCGGCGGUUGCUGCGCGAACGGAGAGAACGGAAGGGAUGGGCGUACGGGAGGAAGAAGAAAGCAAAGGUAAUAAAGGUGGCAAACCGACGAGGGGCAUGAAGGAAACGUGAUUGCCAUAGGGGUUAUUUUAAUUUGCUUCCGCUUAAUGUUUUGUUUCUCGUGUUUUGUUUUCGUACUUGAGAUUGUUUAGAAAAUUUUAUAGUUGAACUGUAUUCACGAAUUAGUAAACAUUUCUUGAAAGUGUUGGCUAUUUUAAAUAGGGCCCAAAUAUAAAUUUUUGUUUUCUUUGAGACUUUGAAAUUAUU